Molecule: non-coding RNA, 103 nt
Organism: Morchella snyderi
Lineage: Eukaryota; Fungi; Ascomycota; Pezizomycetes; Pezizales; Morchellaceae
Source: the annotation of a GenBank genome assembly
GGGGAUGUGGUUUAGUGGUAUAAUACCUCUUUAGCAAGUGAGCGUCCUUUCAGGUUGUUCGGUAACUUAGAGGUGGUCCGGGGUUCGAUUCCCCGCGUCUCCA